RNAcentral lists this ribosomal RNA (397 nucleotides) under uncultured bacterium. RNAcentral describes it as "partial 16S ribosomal RNA". It matches the Rfam family "Bacterial small subunit ribosomal RNA", at positions 523 to 918 of the family's 1533-position model. The record is from RNAcentral.
AUACGUAGGGGGCGAGCGUUGUCCGGAAUGAUUGGGCGUAAAGGGCGCGUAGGCGGCGCGGUAAGUCUGGAGUGAAAGUCCUGCUUUCAAGGUGGGAAUUGCUUUGGAUACUGUCGGGCUUGAGUGCAGGAGAGGUAAGUGGAAUUCCCAGUGUAGCGGUGAAAUGCGUAGAGAUUGGGAGGAACACCAGUGGCGAAGGCGACUUACUGGACUGUAACUGACGCUGAGGCGCGAAAGUGUGGGGAGCAAACAGGAUUAGAUACCCUGGUAGUCCACACUGUAAACGAUGAAUGCUAGGUGUAAGAGGUAUCGACCCCUUUUGUGCCGGAGUCAACACAAUAAGCAUUCCGCCUGGGGAGUACGGCCGCAAGGUUGAAACUCAAAGGAAUUGACGGGG